AGAGUUUGAUUCUGGCUCAGGACGAACGCUGGCGGUGCGCCUAAUGCAUGCAAGUCUACUACUUGUGACCUCGGUCACGUUAUAGUGGUGGCAGACGGCUUAGUAACACGUAAGUAAUCUACCCUCAAGUGGGGGAUAAUCCGAAGAAAUUCGGUCCAAUACCCCAUAAUGUUUUAAUAUAUAUGUAUUGAAAAGAAAGAUUUAUCGCUUUUGGAGGAGCUUGCGGCCUAUCAGGUAGUUGGUAAGGGUAAUGGCCUACCAAGCCAAAGACGGGUAACCGAAGUGAGAGCUUGAUCGGUAAGAGGGGGACUGAGACACGGCCCCCACUCCUACGGGAGGCAGCAGCAGGGAAUCUUGCACAAUGGACUGUAUGGUCUGACGCAGCGACACCGCGUGGAGGAUGAAUGCUUUCGGGUUGUAAACUCCUUUUCUUAGGGAAGAUGAUGACGGUACCUAAGGAAUAAGCAUCGGCUAACUACGUGCCAGCAGCCGCGGUAAUACGUAGGAUGCGAGCGUUGUCCGGAAUUAUUGGGCGUAAAGGGCGUCUAGGUUGAUUAAUAAGUCCUGUGUGAAAUCUCUUGGCUCAACCAAGAAAUGUCACAGGAAACUAUUAAUCUAGAGGUCAUCAGAGGUAAGUGGAAUUCACGGAGUAGUGGUGAAAUGCGUAGAUACCGUGAGGAACACCAGAGGCGAAAGCGGCUUACUAGGAUGAACCUGACACUAAAGCGCGAAAGCGUGGGUAGCAAACCGGAUUAGAUACCCGGGUAGUCCACGCCAUAAACGAUGGAUACUAGUUAUGGGAGGCAUUGACCCAUCUGUAACGAAGCUAACGCAUUAAGUAUCCCGCCUGGGGAGUACGGCCGCAAGGUUAAAACUCAAAGAAAUUGAC
Molecule: ribosomal RNA, 889 nt
Filed under: marine metagenome
Description: bacterial SSU rRNA
Rfam family: Bacterial small subunit ribosomal RNA
Source: RNAcentral